RNAcentral lists this ribosomal RNA (497 nucleotides) under uncultured Glomus. Its description in RNAcentral is "SSU rRNA". It matches the Rfam family "Eukaryotic small subunit ribosomal RNA", at positions 569 to 1070 of the family's 1831-position model. The record is from RNAcentral. Lineage: Eukaryota; Fungi; Glomeromycota; Glomeromycetes; Glomerales; Glomeraceae.
AGCAGCCGCGGUAAUUCCAGCUCCAAUAGCGUAUAUUAAAGUUGUUGCAGUUAAAAAGCUCGUAGUUGAAUUUCGGGAUCAAUAUGUCGGUCGUGCCUUCGGUACGUACUGGUAUCAUUGGUCUCUCCUUUCUGACGAACCAUGAUGUCAUUAAUUUGGUGUUAUGGGGAGUUAGGACUGUUACUUUGAAAAAAUUAGAGUGUUUAAAGCAGGCUUUAGCUUGAAUACAUUAGCAUGGAAUAAUGAAAUAGGACGUUCGAACCUAUUUUGUUGGUUUCUAGGAUCAACGUAAUGAUUAAUAGGGAUAGUUGGGGGCAUUAGUAUUCAAUUGUCAGAGGUGAAAUUCUUGGAUUUAUUGAAGACUAACUACUGCGAAAGCAUUUGCCAAGGAUGUUUUCAUUAAUCAAGAACGAAAGUUAGGGGAUCGAAGACGAUCAGAUACCGUCGUAGUCUCAACCAUAAACUAUGCCGACUAGGGAUCGGAUGAUGUUAAUUUU